RNAcentral lists this long non-coding RNA (372 nucleotides) under Solanum tuberosum (potato). RNAcentral describes it as "long non-coding RNA (STUB_LNC008564)". Lineage: Eukaryota; Viridiplantae; Streptophyta; Magnoliopsida; Solanales; Solanaceae. The record is from RNAcentral.
UUAUCUACGUUUUCAGCAAAGAGCAUAUAGCCCUCAUGUUUCUUAUGCUUAUUUUGCUUCUGUUACUGAUCUCCUCAGCCUUGACAAUACCAACUACAAAGUAUUAUUUGGACCUGAAAUACAACAAGAGGUACAAGUUAGCAAACAAAGAAUGCAACAUCAGCUAUACAUGCAAAACUCAGAAACUGAAGGACGAACUGAUGAGAUUAUGGACCAUGGCCUAUACCUCUAGCCCCCACUUUGUUGCGGGGCGCUUAGCAACAUGCACUGCCUCUGGAGGUUUCUGCCUUCUGAGCACAGUAAUUUAUGCUCAAGCCAUGCUUAGGUCUUACUUUCUCCAUUCGAGCUUCAGCUUUUGUAGUGGAGAAUCUG